Macaca mulatta (Rhesus monkey) is the source of this 1026-nucleotide non-coding RNA. Lineage: Eukaryota; Metazoa; Chordata; Mammalia; Primates; Cercopithecidae. The record is from RefSeq and is a predicted model, not a curated record.
GGUGAUGUGCUUAGCGCGGCCAGCUGGGCUGAGGGGUGGCCACCCGUGCACUCGCCACGUGCAGCCACUAUUCUGGUGAUGGAGUUGCACGCUUCACGGCUUGUCCAGCUGGGCUCCUUAAAGUACCGGGAACCCAACCGCAGGUGGGUGCCUCCCGACAUGGGAGCUUUCUUUUUUAUCCAGGGCCCUCUGGCGCUGCAGACCCCAGCCACCGGUCCCUGAGCCCACGGGGAAGCACCACAGGACUCCGCUGGGCCAUGGAGGUCCCCGAGCAGGUGGUCACUCGUUGCUUAUGAAGUGGUCCAUGGCCUGUGAGUUUAUUCCCGGGGUCUGUGUGGGCGAGGGUAACCAGUUCACAGCUGGGCACUUACCCCUUACACAGGUGACACUAGUUGAAGUGGAAUCUAUAUUAGCUCAUACAGGAGUACGUGAGGAGCUAGGAGGGUGGGGAGGCAUGGCCCUAGCGUUAGAGUCUGGGCUCCUGACGUUCUGUGUCUUCCUGUUGAGGGGCCGUCAGGGCCGCUGUGGGUCCUGAAGACAGUGGGUGCCAUAUGGACCAGGGGGUGCAGAAGCCUCUAGAGGCUGUGGGAGGCAAGGAGACGGUCGCUUCCCCAGAGCCAGCCCUGCCGACACCUCGAUGUUAGGUGGUGGGACCUGUUUUGGACUCCAGCUUCCAGAAAUGUGUUCACAGUGGCGUGAGGGGGAUGGCAUCAGGGUUCUGGGAACCGUGCAGUUUUACUGAAGGAAGGGAGCUCGCCACGCCUUUCCUCAUGUAACUGAAGAUUCUGUUGCCAAAAACUUACCCAUGGACAUUGAGGGUGAUGCACUUCUGCUCCGAGACGUCUGUGGCCUCAGCUGGAGGGAUGGAAAGGAUGUGGAGCCUCUUCACUCCUGGCCUGGGCUUGGACCUGCUGUGCAGCCUCUCAGGGGCACCAGGGCCCCCGUGUGUCACAGCGGCCUCGGGUUGGUGGCACUGCCCCAGGAUGUCCCAGGCUUCAUGAUGUCCAGGCUCCCCUGGCAUGGCGG